This is a long non-coding RNA of Myxocyprinus asiaticus (Chinese sucker), 866 nucleotides long. RefSeq lists it as uncharacterized. The transcript has 4 exons. The record is from RefSeq and is a predicted model, not a curated record. NCBI's taxonomy places the organism in Eukaryota, Metazoa, Chordata, Actinopteri, Cypriniformes, Catostomidae.
CCUCGCCCGUUUCUCUGAGUUUUAAUUCGUUUAUUUGCCUAUUAAAAGUCGAAAGUCAUUCUUCAUUAAAUAGAUCAGAUCAGAUGUUAAUUUAGUAACUGCUCUGGAUUUAGUGAGUGCAUUCAGACACCCAAAGCAAACCACAGGCUUGUUUUUCAAAUCUAAAGUGAAGUGCUCCCACACAGCAGGUACUUUUUCUGUUUGUUGCACGGAGUCACGGUCGGGACUGCCUCACCUCCGCCGUAUCUACUCGAAUAUGCACAUUGUAAUCACAGUUGCUGUUGUUGUUGUUUUUAAUAGAGUAAUCGAAUUUAAUUGAGUAAUCGUGUCAGCCCUACAACGCUCGCUGGAUAUUUAGCUCGACAGUCUACCUGUCUCAUUUCCUGUUUGGAUCUCUUCCUUGUCAACAACACCUGACCUGUCAUGUCGACACAGAGUUUGGCGCAGUAUCUUUGCCUCACUGUGAGGUUCCAGAUGACAGCGUUCGUCAGAUAGUGCCCUUGGACUACAUCAAAGACUUCUAUCCAAAGGAUGUCUUGGAUUUUGAAAAAAAGAAAAAGUAUGUGAUUCUGUGGAAGAAAUCUCCAGAACACUAGGGGCACUUCUACAGGGCACAAAUACUCAAACUGGCUGAAAGUUAAGAGGAAUUAAAGCGUAGGCGAGUCUCGACCUCUGCUCCAAAGUGAUGAGGAAGACUGCUUAUCUACAAAAAGCAACAUUAACCCAACUACACUUUUAUCCAAAGCGACUUACAGUGCAAUUAUUGCAGGGACAAUCCCCCUGGAGCAACCUGGAGUUAAAUGCCUUGCUCAAGGACACAAUGGUGGUGGCUGUGGGGAUCAAACAGGCAACCCUCUGCUUACCAG